AAGAAUUUAAGUUAAAAAAAACUUUUAACCUUCAAAGUUAACAAUAGAAUUUAUUCCUAAUUCUU
Non-coding RNA from Cylas formicarius (sweet potato weevil), 65 nucleotides. NCBI's taxonomy places the organism in Eukaryota, Metazoa, Arthropoda, Insecta, Coleoptera, Brentidae. The record is from the annotation of a RefSeq genome assembly.